This 522-nucleotide long non-coding RNA is filed under the name Nicotiana benthamiana. RNAcentral's name for it is "long non-coding RNA (NBEN_LNC042542)". Lineage: Eukaryota; Viridiplantae; Streptophyta; Magnoliopsida; Solanales; Solanaceae. The record is from RNAcentral.
ACAGAUCAACGACUCACACUUUUCCUUUCCUUUUUAAUUUCCCAAUACUCCUCAAAACCCUAUUCAUUUCUCACCGGUAGUUUCCCCUGGAUUCCCCUUCUCCCAAAUUCUCUCUUAGAAACCUUAGCCGCCUCCCUCUAUUUUUACCUUAAAAUCACCAGAAUCUAUGGCUUCCAAGGUAAUUGAAGUCUUAUAACGACCUCCUAUAACUCCUACAGGCCUUGUUAUUGAAGAUUCAAGGCCUGACCAUGUAGAAGCUUUGUUCAGGAAUCGUUUGAUUCAAGUUUUAUGGCUGUCUCUGGCCUUGCUAUGGCACGCCAUGGCUGUUCGAACUUGAUCUCGACUUCUCUUACUCGGAUCAAUGAUUUUCGAAGCCUUUCUCACCGUUUGGAUUCCUCUGAAACCCUAUAUUUUGAGAUUCUUUUGAUUUCUUUAUCCGUUCUAGAUCAGUUCAUUCAUUGAGCUUUUACAUGGUUUCUCAAGAUUUUUUUCAAAAACUAUUCUUUCAAACCUUUAUCUUUC